AUGCUGACCGCUGCCCUGCAGACGGACCAUGACCACGUGGCCAUCGGUGCGGACUGCGAGCGCCUGUCGGCUCAGAUCGAGGAAUGCAUCUUCCGGGACGUUGGAAACACAGACAUGAAGUAUAAGAACCGUGUACGGAGUCGUAUCUCCAACCUGAAGGAUGCCAAGAACCCUGACCUGCGGCGGAAUGUGCUGUGUGGGGCCAUAACACCCCAGCAGAUCGCUGUGAUGACCUCAGAGGUGAGCCCCUGUUGGAGGGGCUGGAGGGCUGCUCCCUCGGAGCGGUGGGCUAAGCCACUGGCCCCGUGCUCCAGGAGAUGGCCAGUGACGAGCUGAAGGAGAUCCGUAAGGCCAUGACGAAGGAGGCCAUCCGAGAGCACCAGAUGGCCCGCACCGGCGGCACGCAGACAGACCUGUUCACCUGCGGCAAGUGCAGGAAAAAGAACUGCACCUACACACAGCCCUCGUUACAGGUGCAGACCCGCAGCUCUGAUGAGCCCAUGACCACCUUUGUUGUCUGCAACGAGUGUGGAAACCGCUGGAAGUUCUGCUGACCCCUUGUGUAGAUGUGCUGCAGCCUUGGGCCCUCCCCUGCCCACGUCCUCCGUUGACACAGCUUCUCUGGAGACCCUAGAAGGCGGCAUGUCCUGCCCUCAACCUGCCUGCCUGGAUUGCACCUUUCUGCCCUUUCCCCCUCAUUAUUAAAUGUUUCUUUUUGCCA
This 721-nucleotide small RNA is filed under the name Pan troglodytes (chimpanzee). RNAcentral describes it as "processed transcript". Lineage: Eukaryota; Metazoa; Chordata; Mammalia; Primates; Hominidae. The record is from RNAcentral.